This is an RNA transcript of Musa acuminata AAA Group (dessert banana), 1278 nucleotides long. It is a transcript of the gene named WAT1-related protein At1g21890-like, with no coding region annotated. The record is from RefSeq and is a predicted model, not a curated record. NCBI's taxonomy places the organism in Eukaryota, Viridiplantae, Streptophyta, Magnoliopsida, Zingiberales, Musaceae. The transcript has 4 exons.
AUCAAAGAAGAUGAUCUCUAUUCUCUACAAGCAUUCAUCAUUGCUGUCAUCAAUGGUGAUGACACAAAUCGUUCCAUUCCGAAUGCUUUCCAAAGGUUUCAUCCUUCAUCAACAUCCCUUACCCAAGGAUUAAUAGCCACGAAUCCAAAACCAGGGGUGGUAAAGCCCCCCCCGUGUCUUGGAUAAGCUCCAGCAUUUGCAAUCCUAUGGUGAGCGCACCCGCCACCGAGGCCUCAUCAGACUUCACUGACUCUUUACCUCCAUUGGUGUGUUCAUCUCAAUGGAGAAAGCAUCAGCUCCUUAAACAACCUUCUCUUAUUGAGCCAUGUCUCCUUUGAGCACAUCUAAUGGCCUCCCUUCUUCCUUCGUUGAGACCACUGAGUCUGAGUUGUGUGGUCAGCGGAGUACGUACAGGAGAUGUUUCUUUUGGCGAUACAAGGCUUCAGUCAGCUUUCUGUGAGUAUGGGGGAGUGAGAAGAGGAUGGGUAUCAUCGGUGAGGCAUGGAGGAGCGUGAAGCCGUACUUGGUCAUGGUCUUCUUGCAGCUCGGGUAUGCAGGCAUGUUCGUCGUCUCCGUCGGCUCGCUCAAGCGUGGCAUGAGCCACUCCGUGCUCGUUGUGUACCGGAACGCCGUCGCUGCUGCUGUCGUCGCCCCAUUCGCUCUGUGGUUUGAAGGGAAGGUGAGGCCCAAGAUGACACUCCCCAUCUUCCUCAAGAUCAUGGCUUUAGCACUACUGGAGCCAGUGCUUGACCAAAACCUGUACUACAUGGGCACCAAGUACACCUCUGCAAGCUUCUCCUCUGCUCUUUACAACAUACUGCCUGCGGUCACCUUCGUAAGCGCCAUCGUGUUAAGGUAAAAGCUCGAAUCGCCGUAGUUUUCACGCGUUGAUGUGUUUGAUCUCCACUGCUAUAUGAACUGCAUGCAUCCAUGAGUAGAAUGGAGAGGGUAUAGGAUUCGACGCCAGACUCUUCACCGGCGGUCUACUCGGGACUGAUGUGCUCGGGAGUUGCGUAUUACUUGCAGGGGGUGGUGAUGAAGGAGAGAGGCCCUGUGUUCGUGACGGCCUUCAACCCACUCUGCAUGGUCAUUGUGGCUGUGAUGGGGUCUAUCAUUCUCGCGGAGGAGAUCUCUUUGGGGAGGGUGAUUGGUGCAGUCAUCAUAGUGAUUGGCCUGUAUGCUACCACCCAGCCAUCGGAGGACAGUGAAAUGAUACCACUGUAGACAUUGCAUCCCUGAAGAAACCUUGAGGAGUCGAUGAACAGCUUUACCUUGUAC